Molecule: ribosomal RNA, 460 nt
Filed under: uncultured bacterium
Lineage: Bacteria
Description: partial 16S ribosomal RNA
Rfam family: Bacterial small subunit ribosomal RNA
Source: RNAcentral
CCUACGGGUGGCAGCAGUGAGGAAUAUUGGUCAAUGGGCGAGAGCCUGAACCAGCCAAGUCGCGUGAGGGAAGACGGUCCUACGGAGUGUAAACCUCUUGUGGCAGGGAGCAAGGAGCGCCAGGAGUGGUGCGGCGAGAGUACCUGAAGAAAAAGCAUCGGCUAACUCCGUGCCAGCAGCCGCGGUAAUACGGAGGAUGCGAGCGUUAUCCGGAUUUAUUGGGUUUAAAGGGGGCGCAGGCGGAAGCGGCAUGUCAGCGGUAAAUUUGCGGGGCUCAACUUCGCCGAGCCGUUGAUACUGCUCUUCUAGAGUGGGCGAGACGUAUGGGGAAUGCGGGGUGUAGCGGUGAAAUGCAUAGAUAUCACGCAGAACUCCGAUUGCGAAGGCAGCAUACCGGCGCCCAACUGACGCUCAUGCACGAAAGCGUGGGUAUCGAACAGGAUUAGAUACCCGAGUAGUC